Molecule: ribosomal RNA, 465 nt
Filed under: Vreelandella stevensii
Lineage: Bacteria; Pseudomonadati; Pseudomonadota; Gammaproteobacteria; Oceanospirillales; Halomonadaceae
Description: partial 16S ribosomal RNA
Rfam family: Bacterial small subunit ribosomal RNA
Source: RNAcentral
CCUACGGGAGGCAGCAGUGGGGAAUAUUGGACAAUGGGCGAAAGCCUGAUCCAGCCAUGCCGCGUGUGUGAAGAAGGCCUUCGGGUUGUAAAGCACUUUCAGUGGGAAAGAAAGCCUUGGGGCUAAUACCCUCGAGGAAGGACAUCACCCACAGAAGAAGCACCGGCUAACUCCGUGCCAGCAGCCGCGGUAAUACGGAGGGUGCGAGCGUUAAUCGGAAUUACUGGGCGUAAAGCGCGCGUAGGCGGUCUGAUAAGCCGGUUGUGAAAGCCCCGGGCUCAACCUGGGAACGGCAUCCGGAACUGUCAGGCUAGAGUGCAGGAGAGGAAGGUAGAAUUCCCGGUGUAGCAGUGAAAUGCGUAGAGAUCGGGAGGAAUACCAGUGGCGAAGGCGGCCUUCUGGACUGACACUGACGCUGAGGUGCGAAAGCGUGGGUAGCAAACAGGAUUAGAUACCCCAGUAGUC